This is a long non-coding RNA of Neofelis nebulosa (Clouded leopard), 356 nucleotides long. RefSeq lists it as uncharacterized. The transcript is spliced from 3 exons. The record is from RefSeq and is a predicted model, not a curated record. NCBI's taxonomy places the organism in Eukaryota, Metazoa, Chordata, Mammalia, Carnivora, Felidae.
CAAGGUCGCAAAAGCAGCCCCGGCCCAUCGCCUACAUUUUUGGCAGCUGAGGCCUGCAAACAGAGGCUGGUGGACGGCUGGGCUUUCAGUACUCGGACACCUCCAGGAAUAUAAAAGAAUAUGUCCUGAAACGGAAAUAUUUGAAAAUGUGGAUCAAAAGAAGACUCUCUGUAUGAAGACAAAAAAUGACAGCAAGAUUGUCAUCUAAGUACAUACAGAUGUUCCAGGUCCCUUUGGAUUGCAUUAUGACAGAGGACAGAGGAGAUAACAUAGCCUUGGGGCAAGACCAUGGAACCGUGUAAGGACAGACUGUCUCAAGAAAAUGCAAACUGUUUAUGAUCCUGCUUUCAAGUAGU